RNAcentral lists this ribosomal RNA (301 nucleotides) under uncultured bacterium. RNAcentral describes it as "partial 16S ribosomal RNA". It matches the Rfam family "Bacterial small subunit ribosomal RNA", at positions 509 to 807 of the family's 1533-position model. The record is from RNAcentral.
CAGCAGCCGCGGUAAUACGGAGGGUGCAAGCGUUAAUCGGAAUUACUGGGCGUAAAGCGUGCGUAGGCGGUUCGUUAAGUCUGUUGUGAAAGCCCCGGGCUCAACCUGGGAAUGGCAAUGGAUACUGGCGAGCUAGAGUGUGUCAGAGGAUGGUGGAAUUCCCGGUGUAGCGGUGAAAUGCGUAGAGAUCGGGAGGAACAUCAGUGGCGAAGGCGGCCAUCUGGGACAACACUGACGCUGAGGCACGAAAGCGUGGGGAGCAAACAGGAUUAGAUACCCGUGUAGUCCCUGUCUCUUAUAC